RNAcentral lists this ribosomal RNA (503 nucleotides) under uncultured bacterium. RNAcentral's name for it is "bacterial SSU rRNA". It matches the Rfam family "Bacterial small subunit ribosomal RNA", at positions 28 to 513 of the family's 1533-position model. The record is from RNAcentral.
GAUGAACGCUGGCGGCGUGCCUAAUACAUGCAAGUCGAGCGAACAGAUAAGGAGCUUGCUCCUUUGACGUUAGCGGCGGACGGGUGAGUAACACGUGGGUAACCUACCUAUAAGACUGGAAUAACUCCGGGAAACCGGGGCUAAUGCCGGAUAAUAUUUAGAACCGCAUGGUUCUAAAGUGAAAGAUGGUUUUGCUAUCACUUAUAGAUGGACCCGCGCCGUAUUAGCUAGUUGGUGGGGUAAUGGCUUACCAAGGCAACGAUACGUAGCCGACCUGAGAGGGUGAUCGGCCACACUGGAACUGAGACACGGUCCAGACUCCUACGGGAGGCAGCAGUAGGGAAUCUUCCGCAAUGGGCGAAAGCCUGACGGAGCAACGCCGCGUGAGUGAUGAAGGUCUUCGGAUCGUAAAACUCUGUUAUUAGGGAAGAACAGAUGUGUAAGUAACUGUGCACGUCUUGACGGUACCUAAUCAGAAAGCCACGGCUAACUACGUGCCAGCA